Molecule: long non-coding RNA, 587 nt
Filed under: Takifugu rubripes (torafugu)
Lineage: Eukaryota; Metazoa; Chordata; Actinopteri; Tetraodontiformes; Tetraodontidae
Description: lncRNA (ENSTRUG00000026790.1)
Source: RNAcentral
CUGAGGAAAGUGGAGACUACAGGCCUAAAAAACAAGACUUUUGAUCUGCCUUAAGACCCAAAGGGACCAUUUACCAUUUGGUUUUAUCUGUUUAGGCUCGACAAAUACUUUGCAUGUUUAAAUUUGGUCACUUGGCACCUGCCGAAUCAAACUACCGAAGCAAAAAGCUGCAUCUGGAUACUUUAAAGGUUAACUCUGACGAGGGGUGGUCCUGAUGGAGGGGUGCGCAGAACACGUCCACACAUUGCCACCUACCUCCCCGGCUGGGCGCUCCAGAAGUUAGACCGAGCCCACGGCACGUCCCGGCACGGCCCAGCCCGGCGCAGGAGGGGAGGAGGGGGGAAGGCGCGACUUCCAGCCAGAGCCUUCACAACCCCGGGGUCAGUCGAAGGUGAGGAGCUGCUCUCUUCCACUGGGGGGGAGAGAGAGGCAAAGCGUGCGAAUCUGCCCGCAGAGCGAUGAGAGCUGCGCCGGCGUGCGCGUCGAGCUGUCAGCCCGGGACGGAGAGCGAGCGCGCCGCGACUGCCAGCCGGUCCUGUCUGAAGUAGCUCAGAGCAGAAGACGGGGAUUUCCUGACACUGAACUCC